CGUUAAAAAAAACCCCACUAAAAUCCAAGUCAAGUUUAUCUCAGUUUCAUAACCUAGAGUUUGACCCUCUUCAAUGCAAAGAUUACAGCAGCAAACAAAAGUCAACCCCCAUUCUGCCAUGAAUUUCCUGCCAAUAAGGUUAGUAAAAAAGUCAACCCUACUUCUGUCACAUAUUCAUCGGUAAAACAAAUUCUUACCUGAUUUUGGAAUUUGAGCCCUUUUCUUUGUCAUACCAAUCCAUGAAACAUCAUCACAGUAAAGUGCAACUCGGAGUUAUCUGAACUGCAAGAUGUUAGAAUCCAAUUAAGAAACUUGUGCUAGUCUUCUUUUAUCUCCCACACGAAAUAACCAAUCUUUUUUUUUCAACAACCACCCAUCAAAUAAUUCAUAUAAAAUAUCAGAAAAAAAAGUAGCAAGUUGGAUGAAAAACAGGUAGUUUGAAAAGAAAAAGACUACAACUAGUUUAAUCUAAUAUUCCCCAUCCCUUAGUCCACAGAUUUCUUCCUCGUUCAAAAUAAAUGAGACAGAUGACAUAAAUACGAUGUUUAAUGUUUGGAGCCUUUGGCCAUCUGGUAAUUAAGACGUCAUCCAAGUAGCAUCGAACUUCCUCAACAAAUGAUGGUCAUAAAUUUGGAGAUCACAUUGGUUGAGGGUUGGGUCUGUAAUAACUCUCUUCUGCAAUAAAGAAACACGGUUAAACAAACCAAUAAACCAGAUCCCAGAUUAUAUGUCAAGCAAAUAUCACCAUCUAUACACUUUCUGAAUGACUAUGGAAAAUAUUCAUAGCUCAAGGAAACUGCGCAAUGUUAAUUUCAUAACUACAAUAAUAAGCGUACAGUAAGAAAAAUUCUUGAAGUUUAAGGUAUAUUAAGAACUAGAAAGAAACAAGGUGGUAACUAGUGACCAAAACAGGUGUCACCAGAGCAAGAGCUUUUUCAAGAAACUUCACAUUCAGCAUGUUGAAGUACUCAGAAACCAUGUCAUCGCAACUGUUGUAUGCUCAAUCAAUCUGGGACUUAAAUGACAAGAGCAGCUGUCUUGAGUGAUAUACAUGUACAUAUACACACACAUGUCUGUGUGAAGCUGAUAGAUCCUUGCCCUGUGCCACAGUUAGUUCGGGCAACAAGUCGAAUGUUCAAAUCUGCUAUCUUCUGUACAAGUAUUUUGACAAGGGGAACUUCAGACUCCGUGCGACCUGCAAGCCAUUUGAUAACAUCACAGUGUAUGACUACAUUAACUGCUAACAAUCAGAAGCACGGAUGAACACAAAUGUAUAUGAUAAGUUUGUUACCCUCAAAGCUACAUCUUCAGACACUAUGGAUCGGUAACGUGUUGAGCCUUCUAGGGGGCAGCUUCCACCUUUGGUAAUAAAGUUGGCACUACAUAGACUGGACAAUUGCAAGAGAAUGUCGGACAUCGAUCCACUAUCAGAACCAUCAGCUCCCGACCCACCAUUUUGUAGUUCUUCAUCAUCAAGUGAAUAAUCUCCAACAGAUGUGAUGCAUUGAUAUAUAGCCAACAACCUCUCUAGCGGAAAAGUUCCAGGCCCUUUCAUGAGUAUUUCUUGUUCUUUUGCUUCCUUCUGGUCAAUUGAUUUUUCAGAGACCCUGAAUGCAACAUUGUAGUGCAGAAAUUUGUUAUCUAGUUAGCAGUAGAAGUUGCAAUACUAUAAUAACUCUUUACUUGAUACAAUCAUGCAACUAGAAACAUCUGAAUGAAUUAGGCCAACCUUAAAGAUUAAACACGGAAAGACAGAACACACUAAGCCAUUGAUAUAUGUGUAUGCACAUAAAUUUCAAUAUGAAUUUCUUGAGCAAUGCCCUAAACUAGAAUAUGUAAAGUACACACACAGCAAACGACAUUUGCAUUACGAUCAAAAAGCUCCUCUAAUAUAUAUAUAUAUAUAUACAAACACACACACACACACAUAUAAAGAAGAGAUCAUAUAGAUUCCCUAGCUUCCCAUAGUACCGUAGAUCCCCUUAACGAUGCAUAAUGUAAAAAUAAAAAUGCAUAAUGUUGAACAAGAAAGUGCAUAUAUGAAUUUGAUUGCAUUCCAAAUUCAUAUAUGCACUUUUGUGUUGAAUAUUAUGCACUAGUAAGGGGAUCUACGGUACUACGGGAGGACUAGGAUAUACCUGAUCCUGACCCCAUACCUAUAUAUAUACACACACACACACACCAGAUUAUUGAACUAAGCUAAUACUACUAGCAAAAAUUGUUGUGUUAAUCUCUUACUUUCGCUUUCUUUUUCGAUUGUCAGUUCCUCCUGUUGAAUCAAAAAGUGAGGCAUCAAGGGUUGCUGGAUUUCGUGAAGCAAGAAAG
This 2325-nucleotide long non-coding RNA is filed under the name Salvia miltiorrhiza (redroot sage). RNAcentral describes it as "long non-coding RNA (SMIL_LNC005521)". Lineage: Eukaryota; Viridiplantae; Streptophyta; Magnoliopsida; Lamiales; Lamiaceae. The record is from RNAcentral.